Long non-coding RNA from Drosophila novamexicana, 1024 nucleotides. RefSeq lists it as uncharacterized. The transcript is spliced from 2 exons. The record is from RefSeq and is a predicted model, not a curated record. Lineage: Eukaryota; Metazoa; Arthropoda; Insecta; Diptera; Drosophilidae.
GCCGUGUCGGUUGUUAAACGCUUUCGUAACGGGACGUUUGCACUCACCAAAGGUCUGUCUUUGCCUCUGAGUGAUUCCGAUUCCGACUGGGAUUUGGUUUUGGAUGCGGAUUCGUUGGCCGCGUCUGCUGCGUUGCACACAAUCGCCGCAUAUAAUAAUAAUAUAUACGAUACGAUAAUACACAAUACACUGUAAUCGACGGCAUAUAUAUUUGGGCUUCGCCCAACUCGCUCGUUAUGCAAAUCGAGGCGGCAGAAGGUGAAGGCGUUCAAAUUCAAAUUUACAUUCAGAUUCAACCUGAGAGUCUGUUACAAAUGCAGCGGGCGCGAUUCGCGGGCGUGUCGCAGCAGCAACAACAGUUGCAGCAGCAGCAGCAGUAGCUGCAUGCAGUCGCUGGUUCUACUCGCUCUGUUGCAGUGGCCUAAAGCGACGGCACAAAUUUGGCAAGAAAAUUCGUGCAAGUGAUUGCAACGCGUAUUAGCCAGGGCCAACCAGUUGAGAACCAAAAUCGAACGCAAUUAAAGCUUAUGACACUAACGACAACAACAGCAGCAGCACAACAAUAACAACAACAACACGACAACAACACAACAACAACGCACUGUGUGACACACAAAAAGUAUCUGAAAGAUCGCUGCAAUUGGUGGACGUGUGUGGAAAAAAACAGCUCGGCCGCCGCAUAGCAAGCCAAAAUCAAAAAUAAAUACAACAAAACCGAAAGAAGAAAUAAAAAAAUAAUACAAAAAAAAAAAAAUCAAAUAAAAUAUAGCAACAAUUUAUACACAAGAUCGAAAAGUGUUAAAAUUCAAAAUAAACUUCACAACUAAGUGUGCCAAUAACAAAAACAACAACAAAUACAACAAGUAACUGUGCUAGUAGCUAGAAGAAGCGUGUAGAAUACGAUUUGUCUAGCAAUCUCCAGCCGUAUGUGUGCGUGUACGUGUGUGUGUGCGUUUAAUUUGCAAAGUCAGCGAAAUAAAAAUACGGAAAAUACCAAGAAAAAAAAACAACACAACAACAAUAA